This 69-nucleotide antisense RNA is filed under the name Kibdelosporangium aridum. RNAcentral describes it as "ASpks TB sRNA". It matches the Rfam family "ASpks TB sRNA". The record is from Rfam by way of RNAcentral. Lineage: Bacteria; Bacillati; Actinomycetota; Actinomycetes; Pseudonocardiales; Pseudonocardiaceae.
CUUCACCGAGCCGAGCCAGAGCGGCUGGUCCCGAUCACGGCCGUAGGUGGCCAGCAGCGCCUGCGCCUC